AGAGAGCGGGAGCGCGUGCGCGUCCCCAUUUUAUUAUCAGGGUUUUGGGUGCUGAACUGACACAGCCCGAGGGCCCAUGAGGACAAGACAUAUUGACAUACCCAGGGCCCAGUUCUGCACUCGUAUACCCCCCCCCUAACACACACACACACCCAUGCAAUCCGCUCGGGGUAAAGGGGCCCUGGGGUCCUGCCUUACUCACACCACAUGGGCAACUUGGGCCUAGUUUUACACUAGUGUAAAUCCACUGAUUUCAGUGGAUUCUCUCCUGAUUUGCACCAGCGGGAGACCACAUCCAAGCCCAUUUAUUUCUGCCAAAGGAAUCCGAUAAAACAUAAAAACAUCUGUGACUUAAAUUAACUUUCACUAUCUUAAAACAACAACGAGUUGAAAUCUAAUCAAUGUUUAAAAAAAAGGGGGGGGGGAGGGGACUUUGAUGUCCUACCUAUGCCCCUGGGUCGUGCUGCCAAGUUUUGUGGUGUUUACAACUGCAUUUUCCUAUGUUUUUAAAACAAGUUUUUUCUUUCCUCUUGCUUCACAAACAGGGGAAAGUGACUGACUACACAGGGAAAAGAGUGAAACUGUGCCCAAAAGCCAAGCUUUUAAAAUAUCUGUUAGUCUUUAAGGUGCCACCAGACUCCUUAUUGUUGUUUUUUAAAUAUAGGUGCAUAAAGUUAGACUUCUGUGUUCAUAUUUAUGCACAUAACUAUGUGGCCUGAUUUUCAAAAAUACUGUCAACCCAGCUGCUCCCUAUGAAGACAAUAGGAGCUGCAUGAGCCACAGUUCUUCAGAAAAUCAACUUCUAGUCUCUCCUUUAACCUUGUCUCACAGGCUCCUGAUGGAGGUAGAAGUGUGAACCUACAUCUACUUUGACCCUGAUGCCACCUGUCCCCUGAUAUCCAGCCGCUAACCUAUCCCAGAUGUGGGCUAUUCAGGCCCUCCACUGCUUUCUGCACAUCAAGGCUUGAACCACUUGGAAUGUGGUUCUUGGCCUAUACACCUGUUAUUCCCAUCUGAUGUCCAGCUACACCUCAUCUCACUGAGAACUCUGCCAAACAGACAGUUAAUUUAUUUCCCUGCUGAGGAGUACCAAGGUACUGAUAACAUGCCUCUGUUCUAAGAUGAGGCAUUCUCUGCCAGUGAGCACUUUGGUACUGGUUUGAACUAUGCAAAAUCGUGCAUUAUUGAAACUUUUUGUGAACCUUGAAGAAGCCUCUGGACUUGACAGGUGUCAGAGCAGGGGGAAAAAAAUGUAACAGUGCCCUUUCCUCAAUCACAAACCAAAUCCACAAUACCAAAGUAGCAGUUGUUUUUACUAAAAUGAUCAGUAGUGAAAUAGUGAACUAUUUUGAUAUGCAAAUAAUCUCAGGCUUCAGAGUUAAUGUAUCAUUAAAUAUUAGUUAUUGCUGACCACUCCAGACAUCAAUGUUACAACUCACAUCUGGAGUCUAUCUACAAAGUUCAUUAACAUAUUGUUUUUGCCCUUUUCUAAAUCAUGAAGAUAGUGAUUAUUACAGUAGUCUCCAUUGUGCUAGGCUUUGGACACACCAAUAACAAAAAGAUGAUCUCUGCUCCAAAGAGCUUACAACUCCCCUCAACUCAAUACGGUAUUUGGCAGGUUAUAUUAUUUUAUAAUUAUGUUAUAGCCCUUUGCAAUUUUCAAUCCAUAUGAGUAUUCACAUUCAAGCCAGUUUGUAUUAAUUUUGAGUGUAAGAUUUUGUGACACACUGAAUAAAAUGCUGUAUUAAAAUCCAAA
Long non-coding RNA from Chrysemys picta bellii (western painted turtle), 1756 nucleotides. RefSeq lists it as uncharacterized. NCBI's taxonomy places the organism in Eukaryota, Metazoa, Chordata, Testudines, Emydidae. The record is from RefSeq and is a predicted model, not a curated record.